Molecule: long non-coding RNA, 2140 nt
Organism: Tympanuchus pallidicinctus (lesser prairie-chicken)
Lineage: Eukaryota; Metazoa; Chordata; Aves; Galliformes; Phasianidae
Exons: 2
Source: RefSeq, a predicted model, not a curated record
CAGGUAGUUAUAGAGAGCAGUGAGGUCUCCCCGGAGCCUCCUCUUCUCCAGGCUGAACAAUCCCAGCUCCUUCAGCCGCUCCUCAUAAGGCCUGUGUUCCAGACCCCUCACCAGCUUUGCCCUUCUUUGAACUCGCUCCAGGGCCUCAGUGUCUUUCUUGCAGUGAGGGGCCCAAAAUUGAACACAGUACUCGAGGUGCAGCCUCACCAGAGCUGAGUACACAGGGACAAUCACUUCCCUGUUCAUGCUGGCAGCAACGUUCCUGAUGUUUUCAGCCAAGCAUCAAUCAAUACCCCCAGGUCCAUUUCCUCUACACGGUCUUCCAGCCACUCUGCCCCAAGCCUGCAGCAUUGCCUGGGGUUGUUGUGGCCAAAGUGCAGGACCCGGCAUUUGGUCUUGUUGAUCCUCAUCCCAUUGGCACCAGCCCAGCUCUCCAGCCUGUCCGGAUCCCUCUGUAGGGCCUCACUACCCCCAGGCAGAUCGACAGUUCCAGCCAACUUGGUGUCAUCUGCAAACUGACUGAGGUUGCACUCAGUGCUGUCAUCCAGGUCAUCGAUAAAGAUAAUGAAGAGUAUUGAAUUAACGCUACUACUUUAGGUAACAGUUGGUCAAGCAAAACCGCCAUCAGUUCAGUUUUCAACUCUUAAGCAUGUUCUUAAAUGUGUUUUGCAGGGUGGUGUUGCAUGGUGUAUUCUGCCUUCUCUUUCUUUCUGUGCUGUUUUUUCUAUUUAGGGAAAAGGAUAUGUUGUCAUGUAACAGGAGGAAGUGGAGGUACUCUCUGUUAUGUCCAUAGCCUUUUUCUUGUGUGUGCUUCACCUAGAAGUGCUGAUGGAUGAGUAAUAACAGUGGCUUUUCUAUCUGACAUAGUUGCUGCUUUGAAGUUAUUUUCUUCCUUUUUGUUCCAUAUUUCCUUUUUCAUUUCACUUGAGCACAGUACAACACUGUCUUCUCUGUUUUGUUUCUCCAGGUUUACUUUGCCUGCUUUAAGUACUGGUAUGCAGUUAAGUGAGAAGGAGUGAUUGUUUGUCCAUUUGGAUGCUUUUCUAGUGAGAAAGUUACAUAUGUGUUAAAUCAAGAAAAUGUACUAAAGACUUUAAAUUAGAGUUUUGUGGUGGUUCCUUACUGUUAAAGCACUGUGUUCUGUAAGAUACCCAGUUUUUUCAUAGCAGAAGAGCAUCACUGGCUAGAGUUGGAGUAGUUAACAAAAGAGUAUGAUGGUUUUCAGUCCACGGCGUGAACUUUAGCUCCAAAGUUUUAGAGGUCAUCAGCAUGGACAAAUUGAUGUCAGCUGAUCUUUAUAAAUAUUGGGAUAUGUACAAGGUAACUUGAGCUAGUUCAGACUUUUGUUACUUGUGUUUAAUAUUAGAUUGCAGUGCCAGCCCCUCAGAUGCAUGUAGCAACAAGCUGAAAAGCAUGCAGUUCAUCUCCAGCUUCAUCCUCACAGGAACUGAGCUGUCUGGUACAGAUCCAGAAGUAUGAUUUUCUGUGGAAGAGCUGGAUAUAAGACAACAAAGUGCAGUGUAUCUCCAGAAGUGGUUUCUCUUGGUGUGUCCAGUGUCUAACAGAGCACUUUGUUUCCUAAAUGAAUGUGAAAGACCUCCAGGAAAGGAUGGGUCUCAGCAGGAAGAGCAUUCAUGCUCAGCUUUGACCACGAAGAGAACUCUUGCUGUUGGGAUGCACUCGUUUCUUUAGGAGAUCUGGUAAACACGCUGCGUCAGUGGAACACAGCGCACAAAGGACCUGGCUACCCUGAAACAGAGGCAGUAGAGAUUAAGGUGUGGUUUCUAAAAGGGAUAAAAAAAAGAGGUGGUGAUGCCCUUGAGCCCUGAAAACAAGUUUCUAUCCUGUGCUGAGAGCUGCUCAGCAGAUGGGGAGAACAGCAGGGAUGAAUUUGGUGAUUGGAGGAUAACUCAAUUGCUAACAUGGUUUUUGGUGAACAGAUUGAAGUAUUUUGAGUGCAGAAGGGAUGGCGUAGUGCUGCUGGCAGCCAUGAGCCUACCUGGAGCACUGCAUGCCAGCUCUCUCAUUUGUAAUUAAGAAACAUGGACGGAAACUAGAACAAGUAUGAGCAAGUACUUUUUUUUUUUUUUUUUUUUUUUUUUUUUUUUUUUUUUUUUUUUUUUUUAAUGCUGUCCAAAAA